UUUUAUGUGUGAAGGAUAGUAGUGGAAAUCCUUUUAUGAAGCCUUGCGGAGUAAAAGAUUGCAGCGGAUAGCCUGACGGCAA
This is a non-coding RNA of Flavobacterium frigoris, 82 nucleotides long. Lineage: Bacteria; Pseudomonadati; Bacteroidota; Flavobacteriia; Flavobacteriales; Flavobacteriaceae. The record is from Rfam.